UACGAAGGGGGCUAGCGUUGUUCGGAAUUACUGGGCGUAAAGCGCACGUAGGCGGACAUUUAAGUCAGGGGUGAAAUCCCGGGGCUCAACCCCGGAACUGCCCUUGAUACUGGGUGUCUUGAGUGUGGUAGAGGUGAGUGGAAUUGCGAGUGUAGAGGUGAAAUUCGUAGAUAUUCGCAGGAACACCAGUGGCGAAGGCGGCUCACUGGACCACAACUGACGCUGAGGUGCGAAAGCGUGGGGAGCAAACAGG
This 253-nucleotide unclassified non-coding RNA is filed under the name uncultured Alphaproteobacteria bacterium. Its description in RNAcentral is "contains 16S-23S intergenic spacer region". It matches the Rfam family "Bacterial small subunit ribosomal RNA", at positions 524 to 776 of the family's 1533-position model. The record is from RNAcentral. Lineage: Bacteria; Pseudomonadati; Pseudomonadota; Alphaproteobacteria.